GAUGAAGAACGUAGCGAAAUGCGAUAAGUAGUGUGAAUUGCAGAAUUCAGUGAAUCAUCGAAUCUUUGAACGCACAUUGCGCCCCUUGGUAUUCCAUGGGGCAUGCCUGUUCGAGCGUCAUCUGUACCUUCAAGCUCUGCUUGGUGUUGGGUGUUUGUCUCGCCUCUGCGUGUAGACUCGCCUCAAAACAAUUGGCAGCCGGCGUAUUGAUUUCGGAGCGCAGUACAUCUCGCGCUUUGCACUCCUAACGACGACGUCCAAAAGUACAUUUUUACACUCUUGACCUCGGAUCAGGUAGGGAUACCCGCUGAACUUAAGCAUAUCAAUAAGCGGAGGA
This 337-nucleotide unclassified non-coding RNA is filed under the name soil metagenome. RNAcentral's name for it is "partial contains 5.8S ribosomal RNA, internal transcribed spacer 2, and large subunit ribosomal RNA". The stretch from base 1 to 120 matches the Rfam family "5.8S ribosomal RNA", at positions 35 to 154 of the family's 154-position model. The record is from RNAcentral.